This 226-nucleotide small RNA is filed under the name Oryza sativa Japonica Group (Japanese rice). RNAcentral describes it as "sRNA Os03g0253701". The record is from RNAcentral. Lineage: Eukaryota; Viridiplantae; Streptophyta; Magnoliopsida; Poales; Poaceae.
UUUGAAGAAAUUGAAGUACAUCUUAUCGGUACAGAGAACAUAUUGCAAUUUUUUUCUAAUAUUAUUAUUUUAAUUGAAAAUUGUAAAAAUGGUGGCCGCCUGUUUUUUUUUUUUUUGCCAAAAUAGGGCCGCCCUAUUUUAGAAAAAAAAAAUCCGCGCGACCACCAUUCAUACGAUGUACCAUUAAAAUAAUAAUAAUCCCAAAAGAAAUUCACAGAUUACUCUU